Molecule: ribosomal RNA, 470 nt
Filed under: uncultured bacterium
Lineage: Bacteria
Description: bacterial SSU rRNA
Rfam family: Bacterial small subunit ribosomal RNA
Source: RNAcentral
AGUGAACGCUGGCGGCGUGCUUAACACAUGCAAGUCGAACGAGAACGGGUUAUAGCUUGCUAUAAUUGUCAGCUAAGUGGCGCACGGGUGAGUAAUGUAUAGGUAAUAUGCCUCUUACUAAGGGAUAACAAUUGGAAACGAUUGCUAAUACCUUAUACUCCUUAUUAACUAAAGUUAGUAAGGGAAAGAUUUAUUGGUAAGAGAUUAGCCUGUAUUGUAUCAGUUGGUUGGUGGGGUAAUGGCCUACCAAGACUAUGACGCAUAACUGGUUUGAGAGGAUGAUCAGUCACACUGGAACUGAGACACGGUCCAGACUCCGUACGGGAGGCAGCAGGUGGGGAAUAUUGCACAAUGGACGAAAGUCUGAUGCAGCAACGCCGCGUGGAGGAUGACACAUUUCGGUGCGUAAACUCCUUUUAUAUAAGAAGAUAAUGACGGUAUUAUAUGAAUAAGCACCGGCUAACUCCGUG